GACGAACGCUGGCGGCGUGCCUAAUACAUGCAAGUCGAGCGCAGGAAAUCGACGGAACCCUUCGGGGGGAAGUCGACGGAAUGAGCGGCGGACGGGUGAGUGACACGUAAAGAACCUGCCCUCAGGUCUGGGAUAACCACGAGAAAUCGGGGCUAAUACCGGAUGGGUCAUCGGACCGCAUGGUCCGAGGAUGAAAGGCGCUUCGGCGUCGCCUGGGGAUGGCUUUGCGGUGCAUUAGCUAGUUGGUGGGGUAAUGGCCCACCAAGGCGACGAUGCAUAGCCGACCUGGGAGGGUGGUGGGCCACACUGGGACUGAGACACGGCCCAGACUCCUACGGGAGGCAGCAGUAGGGAAUCUUCCAAAAUGGACGAAAGUCUGAUGGAGCAACGCCGCGUGAACGAUGAAGGCCUUCGGGUCGUAAAGUUCUGUUGUAAGGGAAGAACAAGUGCCGCAGGCAAUGGCGGCACCUUGACGGUACCUUGCGAGAAAGCCACGGCUAACUACGUGCCAGCAGCCGCCGUAA
This 524-nucleotide ribosomal RNA is filed under the name uncultured bacterium. Its description in RNAcentral is "partial 16S ribosomal RNA". It matches the Rfam family "Bacterial small subunit ribosomal RNA", at positions 28 to 523 of the family's 1533-position model. The record is from RNAcentral.